CCGCCGUCUCCUCCGGCGUCCUCGACCCGCGGAGAUCACCGCCACCAUUGACCGCGUUUCCGCGGACGCCGCCUCCAGGGUUCGGCAAGGCUGAAAACUUCGACAUCCCGGUAAGGUCCUGUUGCAUUUUGGUUCCGAGCAAUGUGAAUCUGCAGUAGAAGUUUCAAUCUCUUAUCUUUUGUGUGUUGUGUAAUAUGGCAUUAUUAGUCGAUUCCUCCCAAAGUAAUAUGUGUACUACGUAGAGUAUUAGAUAUUUGCUAGCUUUUGUAGCAUUAGCGCUAUCAUCAAGCUAGCUUUUGUGAUGUUAGAUGUUACCAAAACGCACCAAAUCUUGAACUGGGGUCUCUGUUUAGGGCCUUGUAACAUUUUUGGUGGCUUCACUUUUAUGGGGAUUUUACUUUUUGGAGUCUUGGGUCUUGCUAUUUGCACCUUCAGAUGUGUACUCCCUCCGUUCCAAAAUAGAUGAGUCAACUUUGUACUAACUUUGUACAAAGUUGAGUUAUCUAUUUCAGAACGGAGGACAUGCCUGUACUGCCAUUGGACUUGUAUACUGUAUUUUACAGCCAAUGAACAGUUAUUAGAAGUUAGCAUACCAUGAUUUUUUGUUUGACUGAAUAGCAUACCAUGAUUCUAGAAAUUAGAACUGCCUGUGAACGGUCUAUUUUAGUACUCCAUUUCAAAAUUAUUGAAGUUCUAGAUUUGUUUAAGUCAAACUUCUUUAAUUUCGACCAAGUCUAUAGAAAAAUAUAGUUGAUACCUGGGCUUAAACAAGGUAGAUUUAGUUGUUAACUGUAUACACAGCCUCUAUUGCUGCAUUAAGCGAAAGAACAUGCAUAAACUAUGACAGAGCACAUGCACUAUUUGUCAUCCCAUAAAACAAAAGUUAAUUUCUCUCGACAUUUUUGUGGUCUACUCACACAGUGGCAGAGGGGCCAACCUGGGCCAUCCCCCCCCCCCACCCAAAGCUAAUUUAGUUCUGCCAUAUCAAUAACAUGCAUUUAGUCAUUAACGAUGUACCUUUUCCUAAUCUUUGCAUUAGAUGGCCCCUCCAAAAAUCCUGAUCAAGCUCCGCCACUGACUCACACCUGCCUAAAUUACUCAUUUAGUGGCAUAUACAUGAUCAGAGAAGAGCAUGGUGCAUGCCACAUCCAUGGCCUAUCCAGGAUUUUGACGAUGGGUUUUCAGAGUUAAAAAUAAAUAAAAGAGAAACAAUCAAAACACAAUCCGGAUGAUUUCUAGUUCUGUGUUACAAUGCCUUAGUACGCAACUUAUUCUUCAUAGCACGGUUACUGAAACUGACAGAUGUGUAACAGACACAUACAUUACAAAGAAACACAAGAAACAAUUCCAUAAGAAACACAAUGAAUCGGUUGAAAAUAAAAUGGAAGCUUCAAAUCGAUAAAUAUAGAGGUCUGCUCAGUGCCUCUUCAAAGCCGGUUGGUUUUGAUUCUUUGCCAGCUCACCCCUCAGCUCUUCCACAAAACUAUCCUUGUAGCCGUUGUGGAACUCCAUGAGCAUGAACUCCUUAAGGCUUGGGAGUGAUGGCAGCCCAGUAAACAACCCAGUGCUGGCUUGAGAAGUCCAGUCACGAAACUGCAGCAGCUCGAGCUUCGGGGUGGCUUCUUCAAACUUCACCGAUUUCAGACCAGCUAUGCGAUCCAGCUCCAGUACAACCAGGCUCGGGAAUGCACCUUGACAGAAGUUGAAACGAACCUCCUUGCCCACGAACAACUCCCUCCACAGGCGCAGAGUAGACAGAUUCGGUAUCUUCGCAAGGAGUUGUGUGGCAGCAUCAUGCUCCACAAUCCUUGAGCCCUGUAGCCUCUACUUGACGAGAUUUGUGAGCCCCUGGAUCCAUUCGGGCAAUUUUACAAUGUUGCCGUACAGCUUGAGGCUUUGAAGAUUUGCUGGAGGUGAGGAGAUGCCAUCUAAGCAGCUAGAUAAACCAGGAUUCCCAGUGACUGUACUAACAGCUUGAGGCUCUGAAGAUUUGCUGGAGGUGAGGAUAUGCCAUCUAAGCAGCUAGAUAAACCAGGAUAUCCCAGUGACUGCACUAACAACGAUUCCAAGCAGCUGAGACCUGCAAUUGCCGAAAGCAAAUCUUGACUGCUUCUCUUGUUGACGCCAAUCACUCCUAGCUUGCGCAGCCGGGUAAGCUCUUCUAUGUCUUGCAGAACGGCUUUUGCCCGUGUGAUGUUGACAAUACCCAAUGUUUUCAGGGCUUUCAGUCUGCGAAUUCUUCUUGGCACUGCAACACCACGUGUACUUUGCCGCGUGGCCAAUAGAGGUAAUAUGUUGCAGCAGCACAUGGUGCAUACGUCACGCCUGUUCACGUCGACAUCCAUACCCAUCUUCUUCUCCAGAAGCUGAGGUGCACAGCAUGCCACACAAAAUGAAAUUGAAGAGCAAGUAAUGUUACACAGCCUGUUUAUCAUUACCUCGGGUAGAUCUUCUUGACAUGUCUUGAUUUCAAGUCUGUCAUCAUCGUUAUCUUCUAUGGCCCCAGCACAAAUGUUCCGUAGCUUACUAAGCUUGACGAUGGUCCAUGGCAGCCUUAUUAUGCGUGUACUCGAGAUGUCUAUAGUUUCGAGUUGCCUCAGGUUACCCAACGAAUCAGGCAGGUGAUAAAUGCCAUCACAUCCUCUUAGAGAGAGGUAUCUCAUGUGAAGAAGCUUCCCGAUGCACUCAAGGUGAUGGUCAACUAAUUCUGAGGUGCCCGGCAUGGAAAGUUCACCUUUACAUUGGGUUUUCGUAGGCCGACCGGAUGGUGGACGUUUGCCCGAGGCCACCACCUGCUCCCCACACCGAGAUCACUCUGAGAUCAUCGCCCCUCGUGUUGAUCAGUUGGGCGAGAUCCACACUUGCCUUGUCCUGCUGCCUGGUCAUAUACUCCUCCCUUCAUUGAUGCCAAACAGCAAGGCAUCGGCGCUGCUACUGCCAUUGGAGGUGCCGGUGGUGUGCUUAGAGACACCAGCUGAGCUGUUGAUGAGGUUCUAGCGCACGUUCCCCUGGCUGACGUCCUCCACCUUAGCCCUGAGCUCCUUCAUCCGCAUGGCCACACAGCGAUGGGCCAUCAAUGUGCCUGCGCCACGCCACCACCUGGACAGCUUUUCCAGACAGACCGCCAAGUCCUGGAGGCAGUCCUCGACUUCGUAGGCCACGUCCCGGACCUGCUUGACCCAUACCUUGACCGCCCUGCUGUUGCGCUCCCGGUAAUCGUCAACGGCCAUCAGGAAAGCUUGCAUCAUCUCGAGCUCGUCCUUGAUGAAGAAGGUCUGGUCACGCUGGACCCCGAGCUGCAGCGCCACCUGCUCCGCCAGGGCAGAGCGGGCAUAGUUCAGCGCUCCAUUCACCACGGAAUUGCGGACGCUCAGCACCAUCACCUCCAUUAGUUAGCUGUGAUGGAUGGAUUGGAAUGGAUAGAGGUAGUGCUGCUAGCUAUGGCAGAUGCAGAUUGUUGAUCGAUGUAGAGGAGCUAAACAAUUAUGGUAGGCCUAGGGCCCCCAAGUUGCAGUUUCUUAUUCUGUUCUUUUAUCAAGUUUGGCCUACUAACCACAUAUGCCAUUGUGGUUGGAGUUUCUUAUUCUGGGGUUGUACUACUGCGUUCCGCAAGUUGGAGUGUCUUAUUCUGAAAUGAAGGCGACGACUCCGGGCUGUAUGUUUAUUGACAGUCGAAACUAAAUCUCGAAAUGUGUGCAUGCCUUGUAAACUGGAACGGAGGGUCUGAAAUGAUGCCUUAUAGAGUUUGAGCUGUGGGUGGAGAUUAACUUCUUUUUUAUGCUUCAGUCACUGUACUUAGUUGAAUUCGCCAUCAUCAUUUGUGCUUGCAUGAAGAUUGUGGCAGCUUGAAUUAUUUUGGUAGCAUCUAUGUUUAUCUUCAUUAUGUAGCUCUGAACAUUUUUUAUACAACAAUGUAUUUUUUUUCUGUUGCCAUCUUGAGCAAAAAUGAUAAGCAUUUCUUUAUGCAGUCCCUUGGAAGAAAAGGUCUUGGUCCUCGUGAACCCUAGAGAAGAGAUAAAGAGUUGUGAUGCAUUCAGGAACGCGCUACAGAGAAGGCUGCGAUGAAGGUUAAGAAGAAAAACAAACACCUGGCUGGUGGCCGCAAGGAGGAAGGCAGAUCAGCUCCAUAUUGCACAAGUAGACAAGCUGAAUUGAAAAAUUGCGCAAAAAACCCAGCCCAAGGCUACGCUGCGCAAGCAGGCAAUUGCAACUGAAGCCUAGAAUGAAGUGCGUCAGACAUUAGAUUGUUAUCACCAUCUACACAAGACAGAAGCCAGGUUUUGGAAUAAUACAGCACGUCUUGAACUACAAAGGUCAAGGUCUCAAGGAAACUGAACAAUCAAGGCCGAUUGCAAUUUACGACAGCAGGUGGAGUAAUCUACGAUUCUACUAAAACAACACAAUUUAGAGAGGAGAUUUGAGAAGGUGAUCAGUAGGAACAGGGAAGACAAUAGACCAACACAACAACCCCACCGCAGCCGCCGGAUCCAGGCUCGCGGGUGGAUGAUUAUGGGCUGGCAGCUUUGAUCUCGCCAAGUUUUUUCUCUCGAAACUUGGCAUAACAAAGCAGAUAGAAUAGGUGGGUUUAUAGAUGUGUUCUAGUUUUAUGGGGUUACACACUCUUACCUCUAAUACUAGUGAAGCAUUUUUUUCGCUCCAUUGCCACUGAUAUAUUCUGAACGAAACGUAUAAUUUCAGAUGCAUGAUUACAAAAUGGUUUGUCUGGUUAAAGAAUGUCUGAAACAAAAGCCUCUGGCAGAUGUUCUUUGUUUCGCUCCAUUGCCACUGAUAUAUUCUGAACUGAAACGUAGAUACUUUCAGAUGUAUGAUUACAAAAUGGUUUAUCUGGUUAAAGAAUGUCUGAAACAAAAGCCUUCGGCAGAUGUUUUAGAUGGAGAG
RNAcentral lists this long non-coding RNA (4899 nucleotides) under Triticum aestivum (bread wheat). RNAcentral describes it as "long non-coding RNA (TAES_LNC005982)". The record is from RNAcentral. Lineage: Eukaryota; Viridiplantae; Streptophyta; Magnoliopsida; Poales; Poaceae.